GGGUCAGUAGGUUGGUCGUGCCACCGGUACGUACUGGUCUCACUGAUUCCUCCUUCCUGAAGAACCGUAAUGCCAUUAAUUUGGUGUUGCGGGGAAACAGGACUGUUACUUUGAAAAAAUUAGAGUGUUUAAAGCAAGCUAACGCUUGAAUACAUUAGCAUGGAAUAAUGAAAUAGGACGAUCGAUCCCAUUUUGCUGGUUUCUAGGAUUGACGUA
RNAcentral lists this ribosomal RNA (216 nucleotides) under Glomeromycotina sp. RNAcentral's name for it is "partial small subunit ribosomal RNA". The stretch from base 44 to 216 matches the Rfam family "Eukaryotic small subunit ribosomal RNA", at positions 690 to 864 of the family's 1831-position model. The record is from RNAcentral. Lineage: Eukaryota; Fungi; Glomeromycota.